UACAGAGGGUGCGAGCGUUGUCCGGAAUCACUGGGCGUAAAGGGCGCGUAGGUGGCUGUGUAAGUCGGGGGUGAAAUGCUGCGGCUCAACCGCAGCGCUGCCUCCGAGACUGCACGGCUUGAGCACGGUAGAGGCCGAUGGAAUUCCCGGUGUAGCGGUGGAAUGCGUAGAGAUCGGGAAGAACACCGAUGGCGAAGGCAGUCGGCUGGGCCGUUGCUGACACUGAGGCGCGACAGCGUGGGGAGCAAACAGGAUUAGAAACCCCCGUAGUCC
Molecule: ribosomal RNA, 273 nt
Filed under: uncultured bacterium
Lineage: Bacteria
Description: partial 16S ribosomal RNA
Rfam family: Bacterial small subunit ribosomal RNA
Source: RNAcentral